Molecule: small nuclear RNA, 128 nt
Organism: Hippocampus comes (tiger tail seahorse)
Lineage: Eukaryota; Metazoa; Chordata; Actinopteri; Syngnathiformes; Syngnathidae
Source: Ensembl
UCUAUCCUCGUCAUGGGGUGACUGGGAUGUUCAAUGAGCGUGUAGCGAGAGCGUCCCUGCUGACACCAUAACAACACGUUCGCAUCACCCGAGUCCUAGACUUGGUAACUGGUGCAAUUUUUGGAACC